This 254-nucleotide ribosomal RNA is filed under the name uncultured bacterium. Its description in RNAcentral is "partial 16S ribosomal RNA". It matches the Rfam family "Bacterial small subunit ribosomal RNA", at positions 524 to 776 of the family's 1533-position model. The record is from RNAcentral.
UACGUAGGGUGCGAGCGUUGUCCGGAAUUAUUGGGCGUAAAGAGCUCGUAGGCGGUGUGUCACGUCGGCCGUGAAAACCUGCAGCUUAACUGUGGGCGUGCGGUCGAUACGGGCAUCACUGGAGUUCGGCAGGGGAGACUGGAAUUCCUGGUGUAGCGGUGAAAUGCGCAGAUAUCAGGAGGAACACCAGUGGCGAAGGCGACUACCUGGCCUGUUCUUGACGCUGAGGCGCGAAAGCUAGGGGAGCAAACGGG